AAUAGAUACCCCGGUAGUCCACGCCGUAAACGAUGAGUGCUAAGUGUUAGAGGGUUUCCGCCCUUUAGUGCUGAAGUUAACGCAUUAAGCACUCCGCCUGGGGAGUACGGCCGCAAGGCUGAAACUCAAAGGAAUUGACGGGGGCCCGCACAAGCGGUGGAGCAUGUGGUUUAAUUCGAAGCAACGCGAAGAACCUUACCAGGUCUUGACAUCCUCUGAUAACCCUAGAGAUAGGGCUUCUCCUUCGGGAGCAGAGUGACAGGUGGUGCAUGGUUGUCGUCAGCUCGUGUCGUGAGAUGUUGGGUUAAGUCCCGCAACGAGCGCAACCCUUGAUCUUAGUUGCCAUCAUUAAGUUGGGCACUCUAAGGUGACUGCCGGUGACAAACCGGAGGAAGGUGGGGAUGACGUCAAAUCAUCAUGCCCCUUAUGACCUGGGCUACACACGUGCUACAAUGGACGGUACAAAGAGCUGCAAGACCGCGAGGUGGAGCUAAUCUCAUAAAACCGUUCUCAGUUCGGAUUGUAGGCUGCUAAC
This 535-nucleotide ribosomal RNA is filed under the name uncultured bacterium. RNAcentral's name for it is "bacterial SSU rRNA". It matches the Rfam family "Bacterial small subunit ribosomal RNA", at positions 777 to 1312 of the family's 1533-position model. The record is from RNAcentral.